Molecule: ribosomal RNA, 165 nt
Filed under: uncultured bacterium
Lineage: Bacteria
Description: partial 16S rRNA
Rfam family: Bacterial small subunit ribosomal RNA
Source: RNAcentral
UAGGGGAAUCUUCGGCAAUGGACGAAAGUCUGACCGAGCAACGCCGCGUGAGUGAAGAAGGUUUUCGGAUCGUAAAACUCUGUUGUUAGAGAAGAACAAGGGUGAGAGUAACUGUUCACCCCUUGGCGGUAUCUAACCAGAAAGCCACGACUAACUAUGUGUCAG